RNAcentral lists this long non-coding RNA (488 nucleotides) under Prunus persica (peach). RNAcentral describes it as "long non-coding RNA (PPER_LNC003490)". Lineage: Eukaryota; Viridiplantae; Streptophyta; Magnoliopsida; Rosales; Rosaceae. The record is from RNAcentral.
GAAAAGCUUGGAGUUAUACUUGUGAGGCUUUAUGGAGAAGAUGAUGGAUUUUAAGGGUGAGAAAGUAGAAGACAUGGUUGUGAUGGCUGAGGAAUGGCUGGGGUGGCCGCUAGAAUGCUUGCAGCAGCUGAAUGGAGGAAGAAAAGUGGUCUGGUGGUUGCUGAAGGGAGUUGAUGGCUUCUAGGAUGCUUGCAGCAGCCGAGUGAGGGAGUGUUGGCUGAAGAAAAAUUAGUGCCCUUUGUUUGAGCCAUGAAUGCCAAUUUAUAGAGGGUGAGGGUUUUCCUUUAUUUCUCAUAGGUAAAGGGAGGUGCUGAAACCAGUCUAUUUCUAGUGGUUAAAAGAGAGCACUAGGGCAUGCUAUUUUCCAGCAUGUAAAGCUAGGUACCAUAAACUGAUUAUUUCCUAUGGAUAAAAGGAAGCACUGAAAACUGCUUGUUUCCAGUGGGUAAUAGGAAGUGCUGGAAAAGACUUGUUUCCAACGGGUAAAG